Small nuclear RNA from Cercocebus atys (sooty mangabey), 99 nucleotides. NCBI's taxonomy places the organism in Eukaryota, Metazoa, Chordata, Mammalia, Primates, Cercopithecidae. The record is from Ensembl.
GUGCUUCCAUAGCACAAACUAAAAUUAGAAGGAUGCCAAGAUGAUUAACAUGGUCCCUGCACAAGGAUGACAUGAAUUUUUACAGCAUUUCAUAUUUUU